This 303-nucleotide long non-coding RNA is filed under the name Homo sapiens (human). RNAcentral describes it as "non-protein coding lnc-PSMG2-1:3". The record is from RNAcentral. Lineage: Eukaryota; Metazoa; Chordata; Mammalia; Primates; Hominidae.
GCGGCGAGGACACGGCUGCAGUCCCGGUCAGACAGCCGCCGGCCGGUAGCGACGCGAUGGCGUCCGGCGCCCCGCCCCGCCCCGCCCCGCCUCGCGCCGUCCAGCGCCGCCCAGCGCCCGCCCCUUAGGGGGCCGCACGGGCCGGGGGAUGCACGCUCUGGAGGCGCUGGAUCGCCGAAGGUCUGGUUGAAAACUUGAACCCGCCUGGAGCGGAUGCCUAAGAAAAUGCAGGCCCGCUGAAGCCUCCCCGCCGGGCCCUGGGCCCUGAAAGCCUCCGGCAGUUUCCCGUGACCCCGCGGCCGC